RNAcentral lists this non-coding RNA (103 nucleotides) under Oxytricha trifallax. The record is from RNAcentral. Lineage: Eukaryota; Ciliophora; Spirotrichea; Sporadotrichida; Oxytrichidae.
GUGUAAAUUUAACUGAGAGAUUGUUAGCAACUCCCUGCGAAAGGACGAGAACUAGGAAUUACCUAUAAAUUACAUGCUAAAUGCAGCACUCUCACCGUUUUUU